GAGCAACACCUGUGCACCAGAAUGAGUGCACACCAAAAUCUAUCAAACACAACAACAGAACACCACCUGUCUCCAAUUUCUCAGGCCUGAUUCUCAAAGGAGAUUUACAAACCACU
This is a long non-coding RNA of Gavialis gangeticus (Gharial), 116 nucleotides long. RefSeq lists it as uncharacterized. NCBI's taxonomy places the organism in Eukaryota, Metazoa, Chordata, Crocodylia, Gavialidae. The transcript has 3 exons. The record is from RefSeq and is a predicted model, not a curated record.